Molecule: ribosomal RNA, 719 nt
Filed under: uncultured Achromobacter sp.
Lineage: Bacteria; Pseudomonadati; Pseudomonadota; Betaproteobacteria; Burkholderiales; Alcaligenaceae
Description: bacterial SSU rRNA
Rfam family: Bacterial small subunit ribosomal RNA
Source: RNAcentral
AACCGGAUUAGAUACCCUGGUAGUCCACGCCCUAAACGAUGUCAACUAGCUGUUGGGGCCUUCGGGCCUUGGUAGCGCAGCUAACGCGUGAAGUUGACCGCCUGGGGAGUACGGUCGCAAGAUUAAAACUCAAAGGAAUUGACGGGGACCCGCACAAGCGGUGGAUGAUGUGGAUUAAUUCGAUGCAACGCGAAAAACCUUACCUACCCUUGACAUGUCUGGAAUGCCGAAGAGAUUUGGCAGUGCUCGCAAGAGAACCGGAACACAGGUGCUGCAUGGCUGUCGUCAGCUCGUGUCGUGAGAUGUUGGGUUAAGUCCCGCAACGAGCGCAACCCUUGUCAUUAGUUGCUACGAAAGGGCACUCUAAUGAGACUGCCGGUGACAAACCGGAGGAAGGUGGGGAUGACGUCAAGUCCUCAUGGCCCUUAUGGGUAGGGCUUCACACGUCAUACAAUGGUCGGGACAGAGGGUCGCCAACCCGCGAGGGGGAGCCAAUCCCAGAAACCCGAUCGUAGUCCGGAUCGCAGUCUGCAACUCGACUGCGUGAAGUCGGAAUCGCUAGUAAUCGCGGAUCAGCAUGUCGCGGUGAAUACGUUCCCGGGUCUUGUACACACCGCCCGUCACACCAUGGGAGUGGGUUUUACCAGGAGUAGUUAGCCUAACCGCAAAGGGGGCGAUUACCACGGUAGAUCCAUGACUGGGGUGAAGUCGUAACAAGG